Molecule: non-coding RNA, 572 nt
Organism: Arachis ipaensis
Lineage: Eukaryota; Viridiplantae; Streptophyta; Magnoliopsida; Fabales; Fabaceae
Source: RefSeq, a predicted model, not a curated record
UCUUGACCACAGAAUGGGACAUCAUUUCCUCUAUACUAACUUGUUUAGUUUAAAAAGGUAACUAGUCUAUUUGAUAAAUAAAUAUUAACCUGGUUUUCUUGAUUCAGUGUCGACCUUCGUAGCUGUUCUGGACAUGGUUACAGACAGACACAAUUUUUGAUUCUCAGGCGCAUUCGGCUCGCCAUCUUCUUCAGGCUAAAAGAGGUAUAAUGUAGCUAUGUAUGUGUUCAUGCAUACAAAGAAAGUGGGACUACUUUGGAAGCAGAGUUUAUAUGAACUUUCCCAAAAGAACUCAUGUAGAAGUGUUAGGGCAUUAUUUUGGAGAACAAAUUCUGGGGCUAAUGACUUUGGUCAACUAGGUAAUAGAACUGAGGAGUGAAGGAAACAUCUAAAGAAAGUAAAGCCAUUAGAGUCAGAGUUUGUAAAAUUUGUGUCUUGUAUAAUACUUAAUUCUCUUAGAAAUUCAUUUUUGUUAAUGUUUGUAAAUUUCAUGUACGCAGCUGUUGCAUGUAUACAGAUGACAUUGUUGUAGGCUUUUACCAAGUAUUGAAUGAAGGAACAUAAAUUUGAGU